GCCCCCUUGUGGGGUGACGGCCUGCCUUUUGUAUAAUGAGUCUGCGAGUUAUUGCCCGUAGCAAGCUUAAGUCGGUUCCCGGCGAAAGCGCAGCGAAAGCAAGUCCAAAUAGGGCGCUUAGUUGCUGGCAAUAGACCCGAAGCGGAGGUGAUCUAACCAUGAUCAGGAUGAAACUUUGGUAAAACAAAGUGAAGGUCCGAACUCUUCAGUCUUGAGAAACUGUGAGAUGAGUUGUGGUUAGGAGCGAAAGACUAAUCAAACCCUGUGAUAGCUGGUUCUUUCCGAAAUAUAUUUGGGUAUAGCGUCGAGCGCUGAUUUGCGGAGGUAGAGCACUAAAUAAGCUAGGGCCCCUACCGGGGUACUGAACUUAAUUAAACUCCGAAUACCGCAGAGUGAAGCCCGGGAGUCAGACUGUGGGGGAUAACCUUCAUAGUCGAGAGGAGAAUAAUCCAAACCAUCAGUUAAGGUCCCAAAAUAUGGCUCAGUGAAAAAGGAUGUGAUUUUGCUUAGACAAUGGGGAUGUUGGCUUAGAGGCAGCCAUCAUUUAAACAGUGCGUAACAGCUGACCCAUCGAGCGAAAUUGCGCCGAAAAUGAUCGGGACUUAAGCCGUAUACCGAAGCUAUGGCUGCCAUCGCAAGAUGGCGGGGUAGGAAAGCGUUCCAAAUGCAGCGAAGUGGAAGGGGUAACCGACCAUGGAGCGUUUGGAAGUGAGAAUGCAGACAUAAGUAACGAUAAAGAUGGUUAAAAUCCAUCUCGCCUCAAUUCCAAGGAUUCCUGGGGAAGGUUCGUCCUCCCAGGGUUAGUCGGGAGCUAAGACGAGGCCGUAAGGAGUAGUCGAUGCACAGCUGGUUCAAUAUUCCAGUACCACCUUAUUAGAGUUCGAUGCCAAGGAGUGACGGAGAAAGUUAACACGAGCGGGGCGCUGAUUUCCGUUCAAGUCCGUAGGUUAUUCGGGAGUAAAAUACCGGAUCUAUCUGAAAGACGAUGAAAAGCUGAGGCUACGGCCGAAGCGAUUCGUGUGAUACUCGGCUUCCAGGAAAAGCUUCGUGGCUAUUUGAUAGGGUGCCCGUACCGUAAACCGACACAGGUGGAAUAGAUGAGUAUUCUAAGGCGCGUGGGUUAAAUCUCUCUAAGGAACUCGGCAAACUGACCCCGUAUGUUAGCUAUAAGGGGUGCCUCGCAAGAGGCCACAGAUAAGAGUGUCAACCGACUGUUUAGCAAAAACACAGCUCUCUGCUAAGUCGCAAGACGACGUAUAGGGAGUGACUUGUGACCAAUGCGGAAAGGUGAAAGCCUGGGGUGCAAGCUCCGGGUCUAAGCCCCCGUGAAUGUCGGCCGUAACUAUAACGGUCCUAAGGUAGCGAAAUUCCUUGUC
This 1376-nucleotide ribosomal RNA is filed under the name activated sludge metagenome. RNAcentral describes it as "bacterial LSU rRNA". It matches the Rfam family "Bacterial large subunit ribosomal RNA", at positions 579 to 1973 of the family's 2925-position model. The record is from RNAcentral.